This 60-nucleotide transfer RNA is filed under the name Dysphania botrys. Its description in RNAcentral is "tRNA-Met". Lineage: Eukaryota; Viridiplantae; Streptophyta; Magnoliopsida; Caryophyllales; Amaranthaceae. The record is from RNAcentral.
CAUUCAUAAACCGCUCGACCGUAGUUUUUAGCGGAUAACCCCAAUUUAGGUUUAAUAGUG